This 606-nucleotide ribosomal RNA is filed under the name uncultured Synechococcus sp. RNAcentral's name for it is "bacterial SSU rRNA". It matches the Rfam family "Bacterial small subunit ribosomal RNA", at positions 30 to 674 of the family's 1533-position model. The record is from RNAcentral. Lineage: Bacteria; Bacillati; Cyanobacteriota; Cyanophyceae; Synechococcales; Synechococcaceae.
CAAACGCUUGGGGCGUGCUUACCACAUUGCAAGUCGAACCGAACCCUUCGGGUUAGUGGCGGACGGGUGAGUAACGCUGAGAAUCUUGCCCUCAGGAUGGGGAUAACAGCUGGAAACGGCUGCUAAUACCCCAUAUGCCGCGAGGUGAAAUGAAUUUCGCCUGAGGAUGAGCUCGCGUCUGAUUAGCUAGUUGGUGUAGGUAAUGGCUCACCAAGGGCAUCGAUCAGUAGCUGGUCUGAGAGGAUGAUCAGCCACAACUGGGACUGAGACACGGCCCAGACUCCUACGGGAGGCAGCAGUGGGGAAUUUUCCGCAAUGGGCGAAAGCCUGACGGAGCAACGCCGCGUGAGGGAUGAAGGCCUCUGGGCUGUAAAACUCUUUUAUCAAGGAAGAAGAUCUGACGGUAACCUUGAUGAAAUAAGCCACGGCUAAUUCCGUGCCAGCAGCCGCGGUAAUACGGGAGUGGCAAGCGUUAUCCGGAAUUAUUGGGCGUAAAGCGUCCGCAGGCGGCCCUUCAAGUCUGCUGUUAAAAAGUGGAGCUUAACUCCAUCAUGGCAGUGGAAACUGUUGGGCUUGAGUGUGGUAGGGGCAGAGGGAAUUCCCGGU